ACAGACGCCGGCAGUUCUCGUCUGUCCCGAGCGGGCAUCAUAACAGGGCGGCUUCGCGCUACCGUUUGAUAGCACCUUGGUGAGGUCACCACCUGCACAGUGACGUCACACCCAAAUUGGCAUCACUGCAGUGCCUCGUGCUGCAGGGGAUAGCGGUUCACUUGAGGGAGCACGAGGUUCAGCAGAGAGUAGGAAACUCAGGGGGAAUAGAGCAGGGACAGCGUGUUUCUCCGCGCGUCCCGAUCCCCGAAGCCCCAGCAGCCAUUGCGAAAGAGCGGCUGAAGUGGCGGGGGGGGCGUUCCCACGGCGACGGCGGGAGGUUUAAAAGCGGUUGAAACUCGAUAUUAGUAUUCAGUCAGCUGAUCGGAGCCAGCCCAGCGAGAGCCGGAGCCCGCGAGGUUCAGCCGACCACGAGGUUCAGCUAAGAUUAGGAAACUCAGCGGGAAUAGAGCAGGGUCAGCGUGUUUCUCGGCGUGGCCCGAUCCCCGAAGCCCCGGCAACCAUUGCGAGAGAGCAGCUGACGUGGCGGGGGGCGUUCCCACGGCGACCACACCCCCUCCCUUGACUUGAAAAAGCCUCAGGGAAGGCAGUGACUGCUGCCUAGUAGGUAUAGAGUGGAGCAACCAGCUUGUGCUUCAGGUCUGGAACUCUGAUGGAAUUUCUUCCCGCAUUUGGCCCCCGAGCAGGGACCUGAGUGGCGGACAGGAGCAGAGGCGCCGGGAGAGCAGCGACUGGUGGGCAAGAGCGACCGAACACUGUGCUGCAGUGUGUCGUCUCCGACGCCUGAACCAAUAAAAGUUCACCAGUGCUGGGCUACAGGACACAAGGGCUGCAAGGAGGUCUCUCAAAUUAGCGGGAGGUAUUGUACUAUUAUAAUGAAUAACGGAGGCAUGGAUUUAGAAGUAGCCCAAGAUUUAUUACAGCGCUUUUUAGAAAAGCGGGGGGUUGAUCAUAGUUGCAUUAAACAGCUAGCUGGUCUAGUAGCAACGGGGAAAACUAAGGGGUGUUUUCAGGAUCCUGAUUUGUUGUUUGAUGAAGGAGAGUGGAGGAAACUGGGAGACGUGUUGUGGGAUAUGGUUAUAGAUGAUGAUAAAUCAGCGAAGAACCUCAAAAGACUAUUAACUUGGUGCAGAGGCAAUGCGUAUCCUGCUGACCUGUCAGGAGUUUUUCGAAUAGAGACUUGGAAAAAGAUGGGAACUGUGUUGUGGAAGGCAAUUAGUCACCAUGAAAAAUAUAUUCUCGGCCUUGUAACCAUCUGGAAACUGAUAAAUACUACACUGAAGCAAUUAAAACCUGAAAAGACUGUUACGAGCAUUAGUGACUCAAAACUUGAACUUUGGGACAGUAUGGAGCAGAAAUUAUGGGAUAAAGUCAGCAAUGGAGAUACAGAAGCUAAAUCAUUAGUAACUACAUGGAAGCUUGAACGGUCUGCUGCUGCCAGAAUUUUUGCAGCGUUGCAGCCUGAUAAGCAUCCUGAAAGUUGUGGUGAAGUUCACCCGGUUUGUGUCUGCGAUACCCUCCCUAUUCCAUCCCCUGCUGUGCUUUCGGCACCCCCGAUGGUUCAGCAGUCCGGGGCGGGGGGAGAAACAAUGCCGAACGGGUAGCCUCCUGUACCAUCAUCUAACCCUGGUGAGAACAGCAAGUCCAGAGGAUUGGUGUCAGACAACUUACUCAAAGAACCUGUGAAAGUUGAGAAUGCUAAAGUCGUAAACACGUGUACUAUCAGUCCUUUUACCAAUUUUACCAAUCUGCUUUUCCUGCCUUUUAACCCUCUAACUUCCAUGAGAGAACAGAAGAAGUCACUGAAAAUAGAACUGGACAACAGAACUGUGUGACAGAUUAGAUCAGCUAACAGCAAGUGAAUCUGACAGUCAGCAAUGUGGUCAUGAUAAUCGUGACGGGAAAGGGGGUGCUCCUGGGGACUCAGGGUAUAAAACUUAGAAGUUAAGGAAGUACUGGUGUUGAAAUUAGCAGUAGAGAAUGCUAAAGUCUGCUAUCAACAUGUUAUUUGCGAGUUUUACAGUGCAUAUUAUGUGCUGCUGUUUAUUGCCUCUCUGAAAGUCAAGCAGCUUGUCAGGAAUGUGAGUUAAUUGUUUUACUGGUUGUUGUUAGAAUUGUUUCUUUGUGGUAUAAGUGCGCCGUAAAACUUUCUCUCCACUUUUCCCACUCACGCUGCAAGCAGCCCUGUGCUUUUCCAUGGGGUCAGAAAUUACUGUUUUCAGUCGUGUUCAUAAAAAAUCGGUAUUGGGAGGUGUUUCAAAACAUAGGGAAGCACUUGGAAAUAUGAGGAAAGAAGAUCUUGUAAAAUAUUGUAAUUAAUGGUGGCUGCUGUAUAAGUUAAAUGAUUGGGAAAAGUGUCCGGGGAAUAGAAUCUUGAAGUAUAACACCUUAUUGCAAUUAAUGUUGUUUUUAGGGCGAGAAGAGUAAGACAAAAUAAAUCCCUACAAGAGAUCAUUAAAUCAUUUCAGACAGCUGAGAGAGAGUUAGCUGAUAACACACAGGUCACAGUAAACUUGCUGAAGUCUGCACAAUGUUUUCCUUAUUAGCCUGUUUCCUUUGUGGGUAUCUGUUUAAGCAUGUUGCAAUUUUGGUAGGUCUUUGUUAUAUGGUAGAGUAAGUUCACAGACUGUUAAAUCAUGAGAAUCGGUUGACUCAAAAGGUGCGUUUUGUGAUAGUACAAAAGAUCAUGAGUAAUUUAGUUCCUUACUGCGUGAAGGUGAUGUUAAGAUUUUAUGUGUAGUAGCUGUUAUAUUUUUUUUUCUAGCAUACUAGGUUUAUUCCAAUAUGUAGACUUGCGCAACUCUGUGACAGGCUGUCUCUCAUCUCGGUGCACUAAAUUUGGCCUUUUUGUAUGCACAGCAAGUAAAGAAUCCUGGUUUUGGAAUAACAGUUGUAGCGCACCAGAUGAGACACUAAUAAAAGGCCUUGCCCAGUCCAGCUUGCUGCGGGGGGGGGGGUGGGGCCGGGUGCCGAAUGGGUCUCCAGCGCACACUGACCCAUUUUGUCAGGGAGACCCAGAGGUAUCUCCACCUGGCUGAGCAGUGAGCGGUUCAAGGUGCAAUGCAAAAAAUUGAGAUAUUGUCUUAAAUUGGUGUGUGAUCCAUCUGCUUAUUUGAACUUGGUAUAUGGUUUUCAUAUCUGAGCUCAGUAUUUUAGUUUGUAUAUUCAUAUUCGGUACCAAAAGAAUCUUGUUUGGGAGAUAAUUAAAAAAUGGGAACCGGUUCCACUGCUGAAAUUCCACCUUGCUCACCUUUAGGAUGCAUCCUUACACAUUAAAGUAAUCGCUUAUAUUGUUAGAAAAGCAUUUAAAUUGUUAAAAUACUAUGAUAGAUGUGAACUUGGGGUAUUGUAUGAAGUUAUGAAGUUGUAUUUAAAGGUUGCUGGAAUGUGAACUGAUUUGGAUCUAGGACAGUAGAAUAAUGGAUUUAUGUUUGUUAUACUGGUUUAUACUCUUUUUUUGACAUCUCUAAAUUGUAAAAGGUAAAUGGAGCUAAGGAAUGUAACUAUUGCUGAGCUACUUGAAAUUGCAUGUAAAGUGUAGUUGGAAUGAAAUGGGAAAAAAAAAAGAGCAAAAUAUCCCAGGCCUGUGUGCAGCUCAUUGUAACUGAGAAGUUUCCCAGAGCCUCCUACUUUGUACCAGCCAGUAUGCCAGCUGCGUGACCUUGGUUAUAUCUACACUGCACAGAAAGAGAAAACAACUGAAAAAAAAAAAAAACCUGGCUGCCUGCUUUUAAAGCAGUGAAAGGGGGGUUCUCUCUCCCCCCCACUGCAGCGAUGUAAUACUGAAUGGAGCAGUCCGAGGGUGAAGUUUAAAGGCAUCCUGAGCAGACCUGUAGUUCUAAUGAAACUGGACAAUUAAACCAAAAAUUUGUUGAUAGACUUAUCCUAUGGUAAUUAGUUGUACGAGACUUCUUAGUAAAUUCACUAUGCUAGUUUUUGAGGACAUGGGAGACAAUAAAAGAAAGGCCGUUUUUUGAGGCAAACGGAAUGCCAAAUUUGGAACAAAGUUUUAAUACAUGAAUUCUUGUACUUGCCCAAAAGUCCUAUACGUCUCUUGGGUCAGGAUUUGUUAAGUAAAUUGUAAGCUCAAAUAACGUUUUCUGAGAAUUCUGUUUAGUUGCAUGUCCUUCAAGAAGCUGCUUGGAUGGUGCAGAUCUGCUUGUGCAAGUGAGAAAUCUUCAAGGAACUUUUGAAUGCUGUAUUUCUACUAGUAUUAACAGCCAAUGUUUUUGAUAAAGCAAAUACUACACUGAGAAAUCUGAAACAGGACUUCGAUCCGGUAAGGGAAAACAAUAUCCAAUAAAUAUGACAGCCAGAAUGGAGUUAGAAGCUUUGAGGGAUGAAUUUUUGAUAACCUUACAAGCUGACUGCAUUCGAUUGGACUUGCAGAUUUGUCUAUUUAUAGCUACAACAUAGAAACAACCUGUGGCUAUUGUGGAACAGUAUGAUGAGAUUGCUAGCAGACUGAUAUACUGCUUGUUACUCUGAUCAAGAAAAGCAGGGAAUGAAUUUAAGUUUCAAUAGGCCAUGAUCCUUUUGUCAUAUAUGUACCAUUUGUGAAAUUUAAUUCUGAUUUUUUUUAAUUUUUUAUUUUAUUUGUAAUCUAUGUCUUUGUAAAUUGCACUAGCUGGUUUUCUUAACAGCACAGCUUUUGGUAUGCAUAAAUGUAAAAUGUAAAUUACUGCAGAACCUGCAAGUUUUUAACAUCAGGUCAUAGGCCAUACUUGUAUUUGGUCUGAUCCUACAUACUUGCACAGUUUUUGUUGAUGGUUUUGGGAAGUCUCAUAAAGCUGUAGUGGUUUAGCGUGAAGAUAGCAAUUAGCAUCAUUCUGUGAAAAUUAUUGAAAGUUCAACCCAAUUAGCAGAACUUGGCACAGCUUUACAUUACUUAGAGCUUUUUAAGGAGGAACCUCUAAAUUUGAUUUGCGAUUUUGAGUACAUAGUCAAGGUCCAAUGCACAUAUCUGAUUCUGAACUGUGUUUUUUGUUUUGGUUCUGUUCUUUUUUAAAACAAAAAGGGGGGAGAAGUAGGGAAAACACCACAAAACCAAUUGUCAAAAGCAUUGUAUGUGAUGAAAUACUUUGCAAGUGUGACCCAAAACCAUGCUAAAUCAGAAAGAACCUACAUUAGUUAUGGCCAAAUCACUAGUUAAUGGUCAAUGGAAAAGGCCACAUCAAUUGAUAACCUGGGGGAAAGGUUAUGCUUGUGUCUUUACAGAUCAAGGCCCGCAAUGGUUGCUGGCACGAAACGUGAAACCUGUGCUAUCUUCCUGACAAUGAUUGUUGCAGCUGCUGUGUUUUGGAUGCCUGCACAGACAAAGACUAACAUGUGGAUUACUUUAGCCAACAUGACUGGCCAGGACUCCAUAUGCCUAGCUAUGACAUCUCCGGAAAACCCAUUCCACACAUGCUUGGUUGGCAUCCCCCUUGAUGACUACAGCAGCAUCACACGACUGUUUCAAAUAGUGGUCGAUGCAGAGGCAUUGCAACGAACUGUAAUAAUACUAACAUGGCACUUUGGAUUAAUUGCCACCUGGAAGCAGACAUCGAACCACAGGAACUGGAAUUGCUGGCAUCUAUGCCCAUGGACACUUGUAUCCAGUCGGUUUGUGAAAAGUGUCAGAACAGUAUACAAGAACAUGAAUGGAUAAAAACUGCAAAAUGUUAAUGCUACCCUUGGUGACUACAGAAAUGAAACUCGACAGUGUAAUGCUUCACAGAAGAAUGCAAGGGAUGUCAUUGAUAAUGUGGGACAGCGACCCCAAAACCUCCUGUAUGGUGUAUUCUUGAUCUGUGAAGAUAGAGCCUGACCAGGAAUUCCUUCUAAUGCUGUUGGAGGACUGUGUAUUUUGGGACUAUUAACUCUCUUAACGCCCAACGUAUCUAUGAUAAUAGAUCACAGAAGAGCAAGACGAGAAAAACACUUUUUGCAUGUAUAUGAGUCAAAAUGUGAUGAUAAUGUAGAUUUUUGAGGAUCAGGGUUAAGGGUUUUAGGAUCUCUUUUAUCUAGUGUUUGCACAACUAAAGCUUUAAAUACUUUAGAAAAAUUAGGAUGCUGGCUAGUUAAGCAAACAAACAGAACUUCUAAGGCUUUAAGCGGACUUUUGUUAGAUGUAAAUUCUGUAAGACAUGCUACACUGCAGAAUACAGUCACAGGAGACUUUUGUUAUUAGCCCGUGGCCAUGGAUGUGAGGAAUUUGACAGAAUGUGCUGUAUGGAUUUACAGGAUAAGUCGAGAUCCGUCCACAAGGAGAUUAAACAACUUACGGACCAUUCACAGAAGAUCAGAGAGGAUGUGGGCCUCUUUGGCUUAGAGGGCCUCACGAACUGGUUUGGACUAGGAGGAUGGGAAAAAGGGCUUUUGCAGAGUGCUCUGGCUCUCUUAAUCAUAGUAGUAGUUGCAUUAAUAUGCUUGAGUUGUGCUAUAUCAUGUAUUAAGAAGAUUUUAGAGCAGACACUUGGGCAGGCUCUGCUCAUAAAAAAAAAAAAGGGGGGGAGAUGUCAGGAAUUGGCUCAAGGAUCAUGGACAUGAAUCCACCGAGCAACUGUACGAGCAGAGCCCAUUUUAGUUGACAUAAGUAGGCCUUAGUUAGCUUGUCUAUUAGGCCGUGGGAAAGGGUGGAACAGUAAAGUACUAACUAAGGCAGUGUCAGGAUAUCCUUGAAGAGAUAAGAGUCAGAAGAAUGCGGGAUGCACAUAGCUAGCUAAACCCAAGUAGGUGGAGUAAGUAAAUGUAACCUUUUAGUGCUUAGCCUGUUAGAGACAAGUAUGCAUAAUUAUGGUAUUUGGUAUAAAUGCACGCUAUCUCGGGCAAUAAAGUUGAAGUGUGCUUUAUCACUCA
Molecule: long non-coding RNA, 6840 nt
Organism: Columba livia (rock pigeon)
Lineage: Eukaryota; Metazoa; Chordata; Aves; Columbiformes; Columbidae
Exons: 2
Source: RefSeq, a predicted model, not a curated record